GCACCUUAUUUCUCCCCUCCGCAUGGAACAUGAUAUCCUACCAGCAGAUUUUGAUACUCGACAAUCCAAUAAAUGUCAAAUCACUAUGCAUGAUUCAGAAUGACAAUAAGUAAAUUGAACAAAGAACUAAUCUUAUAUGCGGAACUAGUCCCCAACUUGUGCUCAGAAUCCUCUGACUUCAUUUCUUUCUUUGUUUCGGUUAGUGAUCCCCCCAACUCCCAUUUUUAUUGAUUCAUUUGGUCUUCUGUGAAUUUUCUUCCACCUCUCUUUGAGUUUCAUGGACUAUGUCAGUCACCGGGCUUAUGGGAUUCUCAUCAUCCAUGGAUUGAGUGUCGUUACUAUUGUUGCUUAUGGUAGAUGAUAUUGAGGUUUAGCCAUUCACAGAUUCCAUUAAUGCAAAUACCAUUACUAAAAGAAUUCAACAAGUUGAUAGAACCAAAAUUCAAUCUAAAUCAUGGGAAAAUAUAGAUAAUAAAAAUUCAAUGCCAAAUAAUACGUUCAAUAAGUUGCCUUGUCACAUGGGCAUUCUUUCCAUCUGAAACAUACAAAUAAUUUGAUGUGAUUAAAAAAUUCUUCUAUCAAUAUAAUCACUUGUAACAAAUGAAAUAUGCAUCGAAGAUUUGAAGUGAUUUAAAAUAAAAAAUCCCCUUUUCAACACGUGAAAUCCUUAUAUUUUUCUGUUAUUUAUCCAGUAAAGCCUGGCCAUUUGCAUGACACAACCUUUCAUAACUCAUUUAUGACAGGUAACAUUUGCCAAGGUCAAUGGUAGGAUCAAUAUACUUCUAUCAUAUAUUUGAAGUACAAUGGAUGCCAACCUCUUUUCACAAGUUACAUUUGAUUCACCAAUGGCAAGGAAACUACAACCUGGAGAUGUAAUUGAUUUCAGUUCCCGGAAACAAAAUAGAAAAGGCUAGUAGGAGUACCAAAGCUAAAGUUCCAACUCAAUAAAGAGAAUCAUUAAUAACUGCAGUAUAAAAUACCUAGCACUUCCCAGUUUACAAUUACUAUAUACGAUGUUUAGGUGGGCUUAUAUAAGCUUGCUUAGUUCACUCAUAAGGCGGAGACAAAAUCAUUUUUGUUGAUGAGAGAACAACAUCUUUUAUGUUAUUCUAAAUAAGUAAUCUUAGUUUCAAAACAUUUUCACUGGUAUAUCUAGUUUGGGUUUUAAAUUCCAAAUCAUAUAAAACUCAAAAUAUAUAGAUAAAAAGAUGGUUCAUACUUCAGCAUUCAGAUUGAUCCCACCAUAAUUGACGACUUUGUCGGUAACUCUAGAAACCAUGGUAGAAGAAUCACAAUAUUAGAUAUAUGAGAAAAAGUAUAUGCCAUUCUAUUGAUUAAAGACGUACUACCAAAGGCGCCAAGGAGAAACUCACUCAGCCAAUUUAUCAAUCUGAGCUCCCCAAUUACCUCUGCCAGCUCCUCCACGUUUUACCUGAUUUGUGCAAUGGAAUAUAAAUGUCUAAGGAUUGCAAAGACAAAAGAGAG
RNAcentral lists this long non-coding RNA (1485 nucleotides) under Olea europaea subsp. europaea. Lineage: Eukaryota; Viridiplantae; Streptophyta; Magnoliopsida; Lamiales; Oleaceae. The record is from RNAcentral.